UGUGCAUUUUCCUCAAUUCUAUCCUAUCAACAUCUCUCAAUUCAUUACAGGCUGCAAAUAUGAUUCUGUGGCUAAACAUGGUGUUCCUAUUAGCAUUCCUCAGAGGUGUCCAAUCUGAGGUCCAGUUGCUGGAGUCUGGAGGGGAUGUGAGAAGACCUGGAGGAUCCCUCCGUCUCUCCUGCCAAGCCUCUGGAUUUACCUUCAGCGGCUAUUACAUGGGCUGGGUGAGACAGGCUCCAGGGAAAGGACUGGAGUGGGUUGCAAGGAUAGAUACAUCCUCAUCUCCGAUCAACUACUCGGACAAAGUCAAGGGAUGCUUCAUCAUCUCUAGGGAUGAUUCCCCCAGCCAGCUGUAUCUGCAAAUGAACAAUCUGAAACCAGAGGACACAGCUAUCUAUUACUGUGCAAGAGAGUCACAGUGA
Non-coding RNA from Crotalus tigris (Tiger rattlesnake), 422 nucleotides. The record is from the annotation of a RefSeq genome assembly. Lineage: Eukaryota; Metazoa; Chordata; Lepidosauria; Squamata; Viperidae.